AGGUGGCGGCAGGGUCGCCCCUCCCUUCCGAAGCGCCGGGCUCAGGUUGUUCUUGGAAACCAGAAGCCUCUAGUUCUUCUUUCUGCCCGGAUGGGACCUGGCCAGGGAGCGUCAUGAAUUUCUGCCGGGAGGCGUGGACGUGGGACUUCGCUGCUUCUUUUUAACGCCAGAGAGGUGGGGGGGCGCGACGCCAAAAGCCGGCGAGGCGGGAGCGAACCCCUCUCUCCAAAGCAGCGCCUAAGCGAGCACCGCCGCGGCUCCUUCCGUGGGGCUGUUUGCUUUCGUUUCCACGGGGUUUCGGUGUAAACCGAGCAAAGAUCCUAUAGUUGACUUGCUCUACAGAAUAAAAUGAACAAGAUGAAAACGUUCAAGCGCCGCUUUUCGCUUUCAGUUCCCAGGACAGAGACUAUUGAGGAAUCCCUGGCAGAAUUUACAGAGCAGUUCAAUCAGCUCAACAACAGGAAAUAUGAAGAUAUGGCACAAGGACAUUUACAUCUGGCUCACCUGAAUAGGGAUAUCCGAAUGCAGCCCAGUUCUGCCUCACCUUUGGAAGGCCGGUCCCCGACUUCUCUACAUUACCGAAAUGGCAACCAGCGCCGCUUUUCUAUGGAGGAUGUCAGCAAGCGUCUCUCUCUGCCCAUGGAUAUUCGCCUACCCCCAGAAUUCCUCCAAAAACUAGAAAUGGAAAAUCCAGAGAUUUCUAAGCCUCUCAGCAGAAUGUCACGAAGGGCAUCUCUGUCAGACAUUGGGUUUGGCAAGAUGGAAACUUAUGUUAAACUGGAAAAGUUGGGGGAGGGCACUUAUGCUACUGUAUUUAAAGGACGCAGCAAACUCACCAAGAAUCUUGUGGCGCUGAAGGAGAUCAGGUUAGAGCAUGAAGAAGGGGCACCUUGCACAGCUAUACGGGAAGUUUCCUUACUGAAGAAUCUAAAGCAUGCCAACAUUGUGACUCUCCACGAUAUCAUUCACACAAAAUGCUCCCUCACUCUUGUUUUUGAAUAUCUGGAUAGUGACCUGAAACAGUACCUGGAUAACUGUGGGAAUCUGAUGAGCAUGUACAAUGUGAAGAUUUUCAUGUUCCAGCUGCUUCGUGGUUUGUCCUACUGCCAUCAGCAUAAGAUCCUACACAGAGAUCUCAAGCCACAGAAUCUGCUUAUUAAUGGAAAAGGAGAACUAAAACUUGCUGACUUUGGUCUAGCCAGAGCCAAGUCUGUCCCAACAAAGACAUAUUCCAAUGAAGUGGUCACAUUAUGGUACCGACCUCCUGAUGUCCUACUAGGAUCUACUGAAUAUUCCACUCCCAUAGACAUGUGGGGCGUGGGUUGCAUACACUAUGAAAUGGUCACAGGACGUCCAAUGUUCCCAGGAUCCACUGUGAAAGAAGAACUUAAUUUAAUAUUCAGAAUGUUGGGAACUCCUACAGAAGAAUCUUGGCCAGGCAUCACAUCCAAUGAGGAGUUCAAAACUUACCAGUUCACACAAUAUCGAGCCCAACCUUUGAUAAAUCAUGCACCCAGGCUAGACACAGAAGGUAUUGACCUUUUGACAAGUCUCCUCCUGUAUGAAGCCAAACAGCGUAUCUCUGCUGAAUCAGCUCUACGACAUCCCUACUUUAUGAUCCUAGAUGAACAAGUCCACCUCCUUCCUGAGACUACCUCCAUCUUCUCUUUGAAGGAAAUUCAACUUCAAAAGGACCCUGGCUGCCGAGGCUCAAGUUUCCAGCAUGUUGCUCGAGGAAAGAAUAGGAGGCAAAGCAUAUUUUAAGCCUCUUUGUUCAUUCUUCCAAUCACUGAGAAGAUGGAAGCACUGAGAAGAGAGCAGACCGCUGGAUCCCAGAUAGUCCAUCUGAGAAAAAUAAGGGGUGGCAUCUACUGUACAAGAGCUGCCUUGCAAUCAGCUAUUUCUCAAAAUCUCGCCUCUUUCUCGAAUGAGAAAGGAAAAGAGAGACAUUGUAAAGCCUCAGCCAGCUCCCAUUCUUCGUACAGCUGUUGGAAUAUACCACCUGGGCAAGAAUCUGCAUCAGAUGAAGGCUUCUGAGAAAUCAAAGGGCUGCCACGCUUGCCUAUUUACUGGUCCAAGGGAAGCAAAAUUCAGUCUGCUCUUUUUUAAAAGUUGCUCUUUCAUGAAAGUGCUCACCAUCUAGUAGUACCAAUAUCACAGGCAGUACCCCAAAUAUGAAACUGAGUUUGCAAGGCAACCCUAGUAUCUUCAAGCAAUGGCUUUUGCUUUUUCCACUUUUGAUUACCGGCUCUAACAUUCAGUGAUGCUAUCAGGGCAGGAUUUUGGGAGAGAUGCUUAGCACCCAUUCAGUGUGACCAGAAAAAGCCCCCAAGUGUAGCAAGACCACCUUAUUACAUCUACCAGUAAUUAAGCAAUAGCCAGAGCUCUUUUUUUAUGUCACUAAAUCCAAAAUUUAAAAUUAUCUAAUUCUGUGACUGUUGAAUUCAUGUAUUCCCAAAUCAUGAGACUUGGGGAGACUUUAGCAAGGAAAAAGUUGCCUUCCCCAUGUUUUUCUGAAAUAUCUUACAUUCUUCCUUUCCUUGGUCAGAUUCUAGCCCUCACUUUAAAACCCACAUGACUAAAUUAAACUGUGACCUUGAGGCUUGUUGGUUGUUCUUUUUUUAAAAAAACUUGCUCACUUAUUUACUGAAAUCUAACACAAGGGGAGAGCGUGCAAGCAGGCUGAGGCGCAGCACAUGAUUUCAGCAGGUUAACUCCUUAUCAGCUGACACCAGAUUCAAAGCCAUGUGGAAUUUUCAAGGUCCUGUCCUAAAACAGUCUGAUUGCCCAGGGCAAAGUAACUGGCUUCCAUUGAGUCAUUUCAACUCCCUAGCCUAAAACUAUGUCAUUUUCAAGCACAAUGGGGUUAGAGUGUGAUUCUACUAGCCCAGGCAAAAUCUGUGUAUCCUACUGUGAUCCUUUUGGAUGAUAACAGGAUAAAAAACUAAUGGUUCUGCUAACGGAAAAGCGCAAAUCAAACCUGACUGGCUGCAUCUGUAUCAGCCGUAUAUCCUAUAUUUUAGGUAAUGUGUGCAAUGUACCCCUAAACCAAAUCUUGUCUCCUGCUUAAUGUCAUCUUGCAGUAAAAAAAAUCCAUAUUAUUCAUUGCUCAUUUCUAAACGUCGUAGUUGAUUCAACUCAGCACUGUAUACAUUCCUGUAAAAAGUUUUGGAAUGAUUUAUCUUGAAAAUACUGAUAAUAUAUGGAAACUUGAUAUUAUUGUACAAAUAAAAGACAAGUUUAAAUGUGAUUAUUUUAUCAAACUUUGCCAGGUAAAGUAGUUCAGAUUUUCUAACAGAAAGUUUUUAAAUAAACUGAAGGUGACAAGGAUAAAAGCUUGCCUGAAUGUGUGCCUCCACAAUGCUUUAUAAAUGGUACGGUAGUUUGAGAGAUUAUUUACCUACAGCAUGGAUUGUUGUGUUCAUUACUUUAUUCAGGCUUACCUUGCAAAAGUACUACUGAAAA
Molecule: non-coding RNA, 3465 nt
Organism: Notechis scutatus (mainland tiger snake)
Lineage: Eukaryota; Metazoa; Chordata; Lepidosauria; Squamata; Elapidae
Source: RefSeq, a predicted model, not a curated record